Molecule: long non-coding RNA, 6663 nt
Filed under: Homarus americanus (American lobster)
Lineage: Eukaryota; Metazoa; Arthropoda; Malacostraca; Decapoda; Nephropidae
Description: uncharacterized LOC121861777
Source: RNAcentral
UCUCUUCCCACAUGUAGAGGAGGGUGAGGUACACAGUCUUCCCACAUGUAGAAGAGGGUGAGGUACACAGUCUUCCCACAUGUAGAGGAGGGUGAGGUACACAGUCUCCCCACAUGUAGAGGAGGGUGAGGUACACAGUCUUCCCACAUGUAGAGGAGGGUGAGGUACACAGUCUCCCCACAUGUAGAGGAGGGUGAGGUACACAGUCUUCCCACAUGUAGAGGAGGGUGAGGUAUACAUUCAUUUCCUUUUAGUUUGGUUGACAACCACCUCCAUACAUUCAGGAGAACCAAACAGCAAUAUUAAAAGCAUUUACCAAGUUUGUCAUUUUAAGGUGAAAUUUAGCAAAUUUCUUCAUGUUUCAUCUUUUGAUUCAUCAACUUUUGUAUUCCUUACAGUUCAGACAUAUUGUAUAACCCAUAGAAAAUAGUUCACAUUUUUUUUAAGUGGAAGGCUGUUUGUAUUGAUUUGUGUAUAUCAAAGAUACUCCAUAGCUGCAUUUUCUACACAUGGACUCCACAGUUAUCAGUAAAAGAUAGAACUUUUCCCAUUCAUAUUUUAUAUUUAUUUAUUAUUUAUUAUUAUUUUUUUAUCUGGUUUGCUGAGGAAGACUACAGAACCAAGUACUGUACCACCUGUGUUUAUUACAAAUACACUCGAGUGCACGAGAUGUCAACAGGGUUUCCCUUUCAGGUGCAUACUAGUUAAGAAAAUCUUAAGUACUGUAGUACCACUGUUGGCAGUAUUAGAUUUGUUUGUUGAUAAGCAAUGGAGCAUAUUGAGCUCACAGUUAAUUUGAGAAAGGCCAGUUUUAAUUACUUGAAUAGUUUUGGUAUUACAGUACAAUAUGGUUUUAGUAAUCUAGCCUUCACUAAUUCAAAUACUGUACAGUACCUAUAUUUCCUUAAUCCAAACUUGAAUUUUGUUUCCAAUUUUUUCAUAAAAUAAAUAUUUAUAAAAAAGGUAAAGGCAAAGAAAAUUCAAGUUUAUACUUUGCUAAGAAUGGUCGGUAAUCACCAAACACAUGAGAUGACUCACUAUAUCCUAUGGUUUAUACAUAUGUUUGUAAUUAAAGUGGUGCACAAGUAGGGUUGAAAGUUGUCUGUUAUUGGUUUAGAAUACUGUAGGUAUAACGUGGGUUUACAAACAAAGUUCUUUUCUAAUCUUUUUUUAUUUAGUGGUAAAGAGCACUAUUACUGCUCCUAUCUAAUGCAGUAUACUGUAUAAUGUACUGUAUCUAUCAAUCACCUGCAUACUAUACAUCAAGCAUCAACAGUAAAUUAUGUAGUAUAAAGAUAUUCCCACUUAUUUGAAGUUUUUCUGUGUCUACCAAUUAGCUUGAAUUAUUGAGAGUGUACUGUUUGUGCAGGGCACAUUUACUGACACUUAGAAUAUUGUAGAUAUUUUAUAAAAAAUUUGCAGAAUAUCUGUACAACAUGUGAAUUUUGUUUUAAUAAGAAACUAAAAGAAAAAUUCUUAAUACAAUGUCUUUGCUUUAUAAUCCCAGUCUCCCAUACAGAGUUGAUGAUGAGAAGACUGUGCCACAGUUACCAUAUUUCAGUAUGUGCAAAAACAAAACUUGAGUAAUGUCUGACUGAUGAAAACAUUAUAGUGUCAUAUCUUAUCUUAUCUCGGCCAAGUGUGGCUAAAGUGGUGGUGAUAGUGGAAGCUGUCAUUAAUUAUAGGACUCCUGAGUGAAUGAUUGCUUCCCAAAUUAAGUCAUUCUUAUGAAAUAUACUGUAAGCAUCACUUAGUAUCAUGUUUUUUCAAAUUUAUUUUUUAUUUUAGUUCCUGAGACUAAUUGCUAGGAGUUAGUAUUAUAGUAUUAGGACAAGGAGAAAACUUUGAUUUCUCAAGUACUGUACAGUACAAUAUGCUGAAAUGUAGAUUUUUAUGAAGUUUUCAGGGAUAAUGGCCUUUGGUAUCUUGCCCAUGCAGGUUAAGUAAAUAGUCCCUCCAAUCGUUUUGAAUUUAUAGUAUUUCCAAUUUUGAACUUUGGGAUAGACUACAAUUUGUCAAAAGUGGUUUUGUAAGUUUUCUAACAAUUUUGAGAUAAAAGACUGCAGCACCUAGAAGAUGGGCAUGAACAAAUGCUUAAGUAAUGUCUUCACAUUGUCAUUAUAAUGAUUAGGUAGCAGAAAAUCUGUUUCUCAUCUAUAAAAAGUUUCUCUUUAAAAUUCAUAUUGCCUCAUGUAAAAACUCCUCUCAGAUCUACAGAGCCAUUGAGUUAUUAUUUGUUUAUUUAAUUUUCUACUACUUGAAAAAAUAGUUUUAAUUAAAUUUUGCUAGUCCUUUAAAGGAAAAGAAAAUUUAAGGAAACUACAGCAAUAGUAGUUCACUCACCAAGAGAUUUGAAAGUACAGUAUGGUUUUUGUGAUGGUAGUGAGCAUGUUAUUGUAUGCAAUAAUUGUUCUCUUUGUGUAGACUGUAGAGUGAUAAAAAACAGUAUAGGGAGAAUUUCAUUAAAUUUUUUGGAAAAGGCUUUUCAGAAUAGAUUUAAGUCAUAUAAAACUAUUGCAGUUACAGUAUAUUUGCUGUGUUUUAUUGACUGCUUUAGUAUUAGAAUUGACUGAUUUGGAUAUUAUUCUAAUUUGAGUAUUAGAAGUCAUAUUGAGCUUCAAAUUUAUUCAACAGUAUUGUGUUCAUGACUGAUAUGUAAAUUGAAGCCAAAAUAAGGUAAUGUAGUACUCAAUUUUACUGUCAUUAUAGUUGUCAGUGGCCCACAUUGGGUAUACAAAAGCCCUGUUAUAAGUAUACUUAUGUGUCAUCUGUCCAUCAAGUGUUUUGUGUUUGUUGGUUAUCUUUGUAACGAGUUAAGUUAUUGCAGUGAAACUUGGUUAGCUUUUGGAUCAUCACCUAAGAAUUUCACAAACUGUUCAUGACCCUAACCUCUGGUUCAGGGUCAGAAUUCAUUAUCAAAUGGUGUCAAUGAAUAAUUUUCCAUUUGCCAAUUGCUGUCAGUGAAUGGUUUCUUGUUUGCCAUGUAAUAUUGUACAGUAUCUGGUUAAAAUAUUGUAAUGAAACUUGAUUUGCUUUUAUAUUAUCACCUAAAGAUGUAUUGCAUACAAAAAUCAUGACCAAAUACUCGAGGAACAAGGUCAGAUCAUAUUCACUAAAUAAGUCUGCUACUGGUUAACUUAUGUCUUUGGAAUCUGAUGUGCUUUUAUAUCGUUACGUAAGGAUGUGUCACCCACUACAGAUAUAUAUCCAUCUGCUUGUCUAUCAAUUAAUUUCACAUUCACUCAAUAGCUUGAGAACCAGGGGAUGUGUAACCCUUGCCUUUUUCAGCUGUUAUCUGUAUAGCUGAAGCUGUUGGACAUAGCAAUGAAACUACAGUACAGCCAUAGUACCGUAUUAUUUAAUGCACUAUUUGGCAUGCUAAUGAUGGGGGUGCAGCAAUAUGUUAUGUUAUGACAUACAUAGAAAUUGAAACAUUCCCUGUACUGUAUAGAGCUUUGUUGUAAUUCACCUGCUUUUGUUUACUCUAAUUGCAGUGAAAUUGUUUUUGUUUCACCUAUGGCACUGAUGUGUUGUAUUUGUAUUAUUUUAUUAUUAUUAUUAUUUUUUUAAUUAAAUCCUCUUUCUCCAAUGCAUACAUUAUAAGCACUGACAGCUUCCAAAAAACUUAAAUAGACAAAGGGGAAAUUUGUACUGUAUGUUAAUUUUUGAAGAUAUGAGACUGUCAGUUUGUGAGUGAUGAUUGAUGUCAGAAAUUGACUCGAGGGGGAUAUACAGUACUGUACAGUAGUAAAGUGUCUUUACUGGAAUAAUUGUUGCAUUGGAUGGUCUUAACCAUGGAAAAAUGCAAUUCAAUGUGUUAUAUGUACUCAUUUACUGUACAGAAAUUCUAGUUUUCAGUAGUUUAUUAGAUCAAUACUUACCCCUGAGUAAUGGUAAAUAGAUAAUGAUAUUUGCACAUUCUCCAGGGUCCUUGUGAUGUUAAUAUUCUUAGGCACUUUUAUUAUUAUUUGUUACAUACUAUAUUAUUAAUGUUUGGAGUGAGUACGGCUACAAUACCUGUACUAAGUUGGCAUUAGAUCAGAAUGAGCCUUAUUUACAUGCAUUUAAUAUCAGGAACUAGACAAUAAUGUAUAAAAAAAAAACCCAUAUUAAAAUACUUUCAGUUCAUAUUGAUUGUGGGUAGCACAAGGACUUCAGUUGGUAUUCACUUUAUAAAUUCUGUAAUACAGAAUUAGUGUUGUUUUAAGUUUUGGAACAGGCUGUUAUUAUCUGUAUCUGGUUGGUAUGCUUGCAACAGUAGAAUGUUACAAAGAAGUGUUGUUAAAGGCUUUAUUAAUGGAAGAAAAAUUAUUCAGGGUUUUGUAAUAAAAUACACUUAACAUGGGAAAAAAGAUGUAAUCACCAAUUCACUCUUGUUGACAAUUCAGAAACAUUGUACAGUUGUUGGUGCAUGUCAUUGUAGUUUCCUUGGAGUUUGUAGUUAUACAGGCAGUCAUUCCAUGCUCACAUACUUGGUCAUAUCAUAGUGUAUUCUGUGCAUGCAUAUCAUAGUCUAUUCUCUUGCAAUUUGUUUUAUAUUCUACAAUUUCUCAAUACAAAAAGUUGGUGCAAUUUCAUUAAAUUUUUUUUGAAAAUGUAGACAAGGGAAUUUUCUGCCUGUAGGCAGUAGCUUCUCAUUCUUGUGUCUGAAUGAUACCCUUGUCAUUUACACAAAUUUUUUUAUUAGUACAGUACAGGUAGUAUACUGAAUGUACAAAAUUACAAAACAAAAAAUUACACUUUUUUGUCAAAUUGUGUUUAUAACUAAAACUUAAACAAGUUUGUAUAAGGGUCAUUUACUUUACAGUACUAAUGUGUGCAUAUCUUGUUCCAUACCAUGUGAGACUACCAGAGUGUGAUUUUUAUUCAUUGUUAGGGAGAUUGCAACAGUCUAUAUUAUAAUACAUUGGAAAUUGAAAAAGUUUUGUUGGAAAUUUUAUUGUGUAAAGUGGGUUGGGUAACAGGACUAGUUAAUGAAUUUAUUGCAAUAUUUUUAGUCACAGACUGUGAUGGACUAAAGAUCUUGUUCACUAUAUACUGUAAUUAGCAUUAAUUUAGCUUUCUAAAAUUAACCUAACAUUUAUAUUGAGAUAUGGCAAGUACCCUGUAAUGUGACAUAGUGUAAGUCUAACCCAUGUUCUUGGAGGUAGGGACAUUAAAAAGAUUUAUUCUUAUUCCUCCACUAAUUUGGUAAGCAAAAAGUACUUUGCCCAUUAACAUGCCCAGUACAUGUAUUCCGCAGUUAUUGAGGAGUCUUACCAAAUGUUAUUUUAAUACUUGCAGCCAAUCCAGCCAUAUUUGGUUUUAUUUGUGGUUACCAGUGCAGUGUAAUCACAAGGUGUAACAGUAAUUCAGAAAAUUUACAGCUAUUUUACCCCCAAAAAUGUGAUGAAUGAUACUAUUGAUGAUGUUUUCAAAGGUACAGUAGUAAAAUACUAAUAUGUAAUUACAGUGAGUGGUUAAAGAGUACAGUACAUUACUGUAUUCAUUUGCUGUAAUAUAUGGUACUUCUACUUUGUUAUAUACUGUACUGUAUUUAAAAAAAAACAUAGCAACUAGUCUUUGUCAUCAGUUAAAAAUGUGGUGUGAUGGAGGUUACCUAAUUUUAUAUUUAAUUAUUUUGUUUAAUUUGCUAAGAAUGUUGCAAAUAUAAUCUUGCCAUACAUGGUCAGAUUGCAUUAUCAAGAUUGUAUGUAGCCACAGAAGUUAUUUACAGUAUUUCAUAAUAUACUGUAGAUACUAGGUGUGUGAGUGUCUAUGCUUGAAAUAUAAUGAGUGACUUGUUUUCAUUUUUAUUUGACUGUAAGUAUAUUCUUUAACAAAUUCAUUAAUUUACUCAGGAAGUACCAUUCUCUUCUAGUAUUGUUCUUCAACACUUUGUGUUCGUUAAUAAUUCUUAAUGCUGGUAUAAAAUGAAUAUUUAAUCAAAGUAUGAUGAAUUAUGAUGCUCUGGACAUUAUUUACACUAUAAGAUAACAGUACAGUACUGUUAAGACUUGACACAGACCUUGACACAUAAGUUUCUGAAGGACACUGCUAUCUUUAUCAUGUAGUGCAGUGUGGAGACUAUGAUGUUCCAAAAAAUUUAUAUGCUUAUUAUUUGCUUUUUUUUUGUACAUUGAUAUGAAAGUUACAAUAAAUGAUCUUCAUAUUAAGGUCAAGUAACAGAAAAUAAGAAUAUUGUCUGCAGUGUCAGGUAUACAUGUACAGUAGUUAUAAACCAGUGUGAAAAGUCCAAUGAGUUAGUACAGUAUAAAGAUGAGCAGAAGCGUACUCCAGUGUUCUAUUUCACAUUGAACGUGGAGGUAAAAUUUUAGAAUAAAAAAGUAAAAUUAAAUAUAGGGUUAAAAUAUACCACAUUUGCUAAGUCAUUCAUUCAGUACUGUUUCAUAUAUUCUAAGUACAUUACUGUACACCUAAGUGAUGAGGACAUGCUUUUUUUUGUAACAUGAACUGUAACCAACCAGGGCAAGAAAAUCUGGACUUUUAAGCCUUGGUAUUCUGUACUUGGAGGUAUUUCGAAAUUUACUGUCACUUAUUUUGAAGUUAAUUGAAGAUAUGGAUCAUAUGUUUGAUAAUGGAGAUUAGAUGCUGCCCCUACUUAAUAUUUUUUGUAGAUAAUCUUUUAUAAGAUGGGUUUCCAUAAAUAUAAAUAAAUGUUUU